RNAcentral lists this ribosomal RNA (253 nucleotides) under uncultured bacterium. RNAcentral's name for it is "partial 16S ribosomal RNA". It matches the Rfam family "Bacterial small subunit ribosomal RNA", at positions 524 to 776 of the family's 1533-position model. The record is from RNAcentral.
GACAGAGGAGCCAAGCGUUGUCCGGACUGACUGGGCGUAAAGGGCCCGCAGGCGGCCGUGCACGUGGGGUGUGAAAGCUGGCCGCUUAACGGCCAGAGGCCAUCCCAUACGGCGCGGCUUGAGCCGCUCAGAGGCUGGUGGAAUUGCCGGUGUAGUGGUGAAAUGCGUAGAGAUCGGCAGGAACACCAAGGGGGAAGCCAGCCAGCUGGGAGCGUGCUGACGCUCAGGGGCGAAAGCGUGGGGAGCGAACCGG